RNAcentral lists this ribosomal RNA (501 nucleotides) under uncultured bacterium. Its description in RNAcentral is "bacterial SSU rRNA". It matches the Rfam family "Bacterial small subunit ribosomal RNA", at positions 1 to 507 of the family's 1533-position model. The record is from RNAcentral.
ACGAGUUUGAUCCUGGCUCAGAUUGAACGCUGGCGGAAUGCUUUACNCAUGCAAGUCGAACGGUAGAGGGGGCAACCCCUUGAGAGUGGCGAACGGGUGAGUAAUAUAUCGGAACGUGCCCAGUCGUGGGGGAUAACGUAGCGAAAGUUACGCUAAUACCGCAUACGAUCUAAGGAUGAAAGUGGGGGAUCGCAAGACCUCAUGCUCAUGGAGCGGCCGAUAUCUGAUUAGCUAGUUGGUGGGGUAAAGGCCUACCAAGGCAUCGAUCAGUAGCUGGUCUGAGAGGACGACCAGCCACACUGGAACUGAGACACGGUCCAGACUCCUACGGGAGGCAGCAGUGGGGAAUUUUGGACAAUGGGGGCAACCCUGAUCCAGCAAUGCCGCGUGAGUGAAGAAGGCCUUCGGGUUGUAAAGCUCUUUUGUCAGGGAAGAAACGGUGAGGGCUAAUAUCCUUUGCUAAUGACGGUACCUGAAGAAUAAGCACCGGCUAACUACGUG